UACGGAGGGUGCGAGCGUUAAUCGGAAUUACUGGGCGUAAAGGGUGCGUAGGUGGUUUGAUAAGUUAUCUGUAAAAGCCCUGGGCUCAACCUGGGAAGGCCAGAUAAUACUGUUGAACUAGAGUAUGGGAGAGGGUAGUGGAAUUUCCGGUGUAGCGGUGAAAUGCGUAGAGAUCGGAAGGAACACCAGUGGCGAAGGCGGCUACCUGGCCUAAUACUGACACUGAGGCACGAAAGCGUGGGGAGCAAACAGG
This 253-nucleotide ribosomal RNA is filed under the name uncultured bacterium. RNAcentral describes it as "partial 16S ribosomal RNA". It matches the Rfam family "Bacterial small subunit ribosomal RNA", at positions 524 to 776 of the family's 1533-position model. The record is from RNAcentral.